This 468-nucleotide ribosomal RNA is filed under the name uncultured bacterium. Its description in RNAcentral is "partial 16S ribosomal RNA". It matches the Rfam family "Bacterial small subunit ribosomal RNA", at positions 28 to 507 of the family's 1533-position model. The record is from RNAcentral.
GACGAACGCUGGCGGCGUGCUUAACACAUGCAAGUCGAACGGAAAGGCCCUGCUUUUGUGGGGUGCUCGAGUGGCGAACGGGUGAGUAACAAGUGAGUAACCUGCUCUUGACUUUGGGAUAACUUCAGGAAACUGGGGCUACUACCGGAUAGGAGCUCCUGCUGCAUGGUGGGGGUUGGAAAGUUUCGGCGGUUGGGGAUGGACUCGCGGCUUAUCAGCUUGUUGGUGGGGUAGUGGCUUACCAAGGCUUUGACGGGUAGCCGGCCUGAGAGGGUGACCGGCCACAUUGGGACUGAGAUACGGCCCAGACUCCUACGGGAGGCAGCAGGGGGGAAUAUUGCACAAUGGGCGGAAGCCUGAUGCAGCAACGCCGCGUGCGGGAUGACGGCCUUCGGGUGGUAAACCGCUUUCGCCUGUGACGAAGCGUGAGUGACGGUAAUGGGUAAAGAAGCACCGGCUAACUACGUG